RNAcentral lists this transfer-messenger RNA (239 nucleotides) under Acidimicrobiia bacterium. RNAcentral describes it as "partial transfer-messenger RNA". It matches the Rfam family "transfer-messenger RNA", at positions 1 to 251 of the family's 374-position model. Rfam says of the family: Bacterial tmRNA, also known as 10Sa RNA or SsrA, is named for its dual tRNA and mRNA-like properties. Its role is to liberate the mRNA from a stalled ribosome. The record is from RNAcentral. Lineage: Bacteria; Bacillati; Actinomycetota; Acidimicrobiia.
GGGGGUGACUUGGAUUCGACGUUGAGUAAUCGCCGUGUCGGAAGCGAGCCGAGGUUUCCGGAACCUCGCAAAACAACCGGGUAAACAAAACAAGUGCCAAACCACAAAUGGCGCUGGCUGCCUGAUAGAUAGGUAGCCCGUCCUCUCCGGAGGGUUCCCGCCCCACCGGACAAGGGCGUCGCUAAUGCGGGAUGCCCCCGGCGGGACUCCGGGACCGACGGGCCAAGCCAAUCCCGGAC